GAUGAACGCUAGCGGCAGGCUUAAUACAUGCAAGUCGUGGGGCAGCAGCUUUAUAGCAAUAUAGAGGCUGGCGACCGGCAAACGGGUGCGGAACACGUACUGAACCUUCCUUUAAGUGGGGAAUAGCACAGAGAAAUUUGGAUUAAUACCCCGUAACAUAUAAAAGUGGCAUCACUUUUAUAUUAAAGCUCCGGCGCUUAAAGAUGGCAGUGCGGCUGAUUAGGUAGUUGGCGGGGUAACGUCCCACCAAGCCUCCGAUCAGUAACUGGUGUGAGAGCAUGACCAGUCACACGGGCACUCAGCCCCGGGCCCGGCUCCUACGGGAGGCAGCCGUAAGGAACAUUGGUCAAUGGACGGAAGUCUGAACCAUCCAUGCCGCGUGGAGGAUGAAGGUCCUCUGGAUUGUAAACUUCUUUUAUCUGGGACGAAAAAGGGCUUUUCUAAGUCAACUGACGGUACCAGAUGAAUAAGCACCGGCUAACUCCGUGCCAGCCGCCGCCGUAA
This 504-nucleotide ribosomal RNA is filed under the name uncultured bacterium. RNAcentral describes it as "partial 16S ribosomal RNA". It matches the Rfam family "Bacterial small subunit ribosomal RNA", at positions 28 to 523 of the family's 1533-position model. The record is from RNAcentral.